AUACGGAGGGUGCAAGCGUUACUCGGAAUCACUGGGCGUAAAGGAUGCGUAGGCGGAUAAUCAAGUCAAAAGUGAAAUCCUACAGCUUAACUGUAGAACUGCUUUCGAAACUGGUUAUCUAGAAUAUGGAAGAGGCAGAUGGAAUUAGUGGUGUAGGGGUAAAAUCCGUAGAGAUCACUAGGAAUACCGAUUGCGAAGGCGAUCUGCUGGGACAUUAUUGACGCUGAGGCAUGAAAGCGUGGGGAGCAAACAGGAUUAGAAACCCCUGUAGUCC
RNAcentral lists this ribosomal RNA (274 nucleotides) under uncultured bacterium. RNAcentral's name for it is "partial 16S ribosomal RNA". It matches the Rfam family "Bacterial small subunit ribosomal RNA", at positions 523 to 796 of the family's 1533-position model. The record is from RNAcentral.